RNAcentral lists this ribosomal RNA (440 nucleotides) under uncultured bacterium. RNAcentral describes it as "partial 16S ribosomal RNA". It matches the Rfam family "Bacterial small subunit ribosomal RNA", at positions 338 to 795 of the family's 1533-position model. The record is from RNAcentral.
CCUACGGGAGGCUGCAGUGGGGAAUAUUGGACAAUGGGGGGAACCCUGAUCCAGCGACGCCGCGUGAGUGAAGAAGUAUUUCGGUAUGUAAAGCUCUAUCAGCAGGGAAGAAAAUGACGGUACCUGACUAAGAAGCCCCGGCUAACUACGUGCCAGCAGCCGCGGUAAUACGUAGGGGGCAAGCGUUAUCCGGAUUUACUGGGUGUAAAGGGGGCGUUGACGGGGCAACAAGUCUGAUGUGAAAGGUCGGGGCCCAACCCCGGGACUGCAUUGGAAACUGUUGAACUGGAGUACGGGAGAGGUAAGCGGAAUUCCUAGUGUAGCGGUGAAAUGCGUAGAUAUUAGGAGGAACACCAGUGGCGAAGGCGGCUUACUGGACUGUAACUGACGUUGAGGCACGAAAGCGUGGGGAGCAAACAGGAUUAGAUACCCGUGUAGUC